This 68-nucleotide transfer RNA is filed under the name Uromastyx macfadyeni. It matches the Rfam family "tRNA". Rfam says of the family: Transfer RNA (tRNA) molecules are approximately 80 nucleotides in length. The record is from RNAcentral. Lineage: Eukaryota; Metazoa; Chordata; Lepidosauria; Squamata; Agamidae.
AAAGCCUUAGCUUAAGUAAAGCGUUUGGGUUGCAUCCAGAAUAUGUGGUUAAAGUUCCACAGGUUUUA